UACGGAGGGGGCUAGCGUUGUUCGGAAUUACUGGGCGUAAAGCGCACGUAGGCGGCUUUGUAAGUUAGAGGUGAAAGCCCGGGGCUCAACCCCGGAACUGCCUUCAAAACUCCCAGUCUGGAGGUCGAGAGAGGUGAGUGGAAUUCCGAGUGUAGAGGUGAAAUUCGUAGAUAUUCGGAGGAACACCAGUGGCGAAGGCGGCUCACUGGCUCGAUACUGACGCUGAGGUGCGAAAGCGUGGGGAGCAAACAGG
This 253-nucleotide ribosomal RNA is filed under the name uncultured bacterium. RNAcentral describes it as "partial 16S ribosomal RNA". It matches the Rfam family "Bacterial small subunit ribosomal RNA", at positions 524 to 776 of the family's 1533-position model. The record is from RNAcentral.